This is a non-coding RNA of Triticum aestivum (bread wheat), 121 nucleotides long. The record is from Rfam. Lineage: Eukaryota; Viridiplantae; Streptophyta; Magnoliopsida; Poales; Poaceae.
UUUGUUUUCCCUCCAUCCGAAAAUACUUAUCAUUGAAAUGUAUCUAGAUGUAUUUUAGUUCUACAUACAUCAAUUUUCAUCCAUUUUGAUGACAAGUAAUUCCGGACGGAGGGAGUAGUAU